RNAcentral lists this ribosomal RNA (253 nucleotides) under uncultured bacterium. Its description in RNAcentral is "partial 16S ribosomal RNA". It matches the Rfam family "Bacterial small subunit ribosomal RNA", at positions 524 to 776 of the family's 1533-position model. The record is from RNAcentral.
GACAGAGGUCCCGAGCGUUGUUCGGAUUCAUUGGGCGUAAAGGGUGUGUAGGAGGUUGGGUAAGUCAGGUGUGAAAUCUCACAGCUUAACUGUGAAACUGCGCUUGAUACUGCUCGGCUAGAGGAUCGGAGGGGGUAACGGAAUUCAUGGUGUAGCAGUGAAAUGCGUAGAUAUCAUGAGGAACACCGGUGGCGAAGGCGGUUACCUGGAAGAUUCCUGACUCUGAAACACGAAAGCCAGGGGAGCAAACGGG